Molecule: long non-coding RNA, 480 nt
Organism: Mus musculus (house mouse)
Lineage: Eukaryota; Metazoa; Chordata; Mammalia; Rodentia; Muridae
Product: predicted gene, 35676
Exons: 2
Source: RefSeq, marked validated
GUUCCUUGAAGGUGAUCCUGAGACCUGAACAUGUCUUUAUUGCACUCUGCCUCCUGACUGUCAUAAAAUGAGAGGGCCUGUAUCACCAUGCACUGACAGUCACAAGGACAAAGGGCACAAGUGGUCAUAGAUUGGAAAUUUCGGAAACCAGGAGCCAAAGGGCUCGCUCUCUCUCUGUGUCGAGGAACACGUCCCGUCCCGUCCCCGCCCCCCGACAUACACUGAGGACUCUAGGUGUAUGCUGCCACAUUGUGCUGGAUGAAAUGGGUGCUGUCUCCCACCUUGUCCACUCAAGAAGCAGAGAGCUUUACUCGUGUCACUUUCUAAUCCAUGUCACCGAGAGUGCUAUAUUAUACAGACCUGAGCCUGUCUGGAUCGGUCUCCUGAGCCCCCUUUAGACAUCUAUGUAUCUCCUCCAUAAAAUUACCCCAAUUCACUCAAAAGCUUUUCAUACAAGCCUCGGAGUACACAAACUGCAAA